RNAcentral lists this ribosomal RNA (465 nucleotides) under Vreelandella stevensii. RNAcentral's name for it is "partial 16S ribosomal RNA". It matches the Rfam family "Bacterial small subunit ribosomal RNA", at positions 338 to 795 of the family's 1533-position model. Lineage: Bacteria; Pseudomonadati; Pseudomonadota; Gammaproteobacteria; Oceanospirillales; Halomonadaceae. The record is from RNAcentral.
CCUACGUGUGGCUGCAGUGGGGAAUAUUGGACAAUGGGCGAAAGCCUGAUCCAGCCAUGCCGCGUGUGUGAAGAAGGCCUUCGGGUUGUAAAGCACUUUCAGUGGGGAAGAAAGCCUUGGGGCUAAUACCCUCGAGGAAGGACAUCACCCACAGAAGAAGCACCGGCUAACUCCGUGCCAGCAGCCGCGGUAAUACGGAGGGUGCGAGCGUUAAUCGGAAUUACUGGGCGUAAAGCGCGCGUAGGCGGUCUGAUAAGCCGGUUGUGAAAACCCCGGGCUCAACCUGGGAACGGCAUCCGGAACUGUCAGGCUAGAGUGCAGGAGAGGAAGGUAGAAUUCCCGGUGUAGCGGUGAAAUGCGUAGAGAUCGGGAGGAAUACCAGUGGCGAAGGCGGCCUUCUGGACUGACACUGACGCUGAGGUGCGAAAGCGUGGGUAGCAAACAGGAUUAGAUACCCGAGUAGUC